Pilatotrama ljubarskyi is the source of this 93-nucleotide non-coding RNA. NCBI's taxonomy places the organism in Eukaryota, Fungi, Basidiomycota, Agaricomycetes, Polyporales, Polyporaceae. The record is from the annotation of a GenBank genome assembly.
UCCCUGGUAGUAUAUCGGAUAGUACACGCGCCUGUCAUCUCUGGAUAGCUGACUCGAACGCGCGAGAGCGGGGUUCGACUCCCCGCCAGGGAG